CAUAAUAACAUGAUGUAAAGGUCAAAAAAGUCAAUUUAGCAUACUACUGCCCCUUUAAGUAGAGAGCAAGCGGCGUCGUUUUCCAAAGAGUUGAUUCAUUGGUAAUAAUCACAUUUCUAUGAAAGAAAAGAAACAAAGUCACUGUAAAUUCUGACUAUAUCAUCUCUCCUUUUUGUGGUGAUCCUGGGUGCUCAUGGUUUGUUUUGCUGCUGUUUCUCAGUCCUUCCACCAGGGGCCGCCUGGUGGGUGAUCUCUGGUGGGCGUGACUGGCAAAGCUGGAACUCUACACACCUGCUGGAGAUUGUCUCAUCUGCGAGGGGCUUAAGAGUGGAGUCAGUCAACACAUCGUUACCAGAGUGUUAACCAGUAAUGGUACUUCAGGCCAUCAGCGUAAACGUUGUUGAUUUCCUUGUGAACCUCCCAGUUCCUCCGUUUUCAGGAUACCUCCUUGUGACAUCAUGGUCCUAACCACUCAUAGCUCUGAAUUCCUGGCUGUUCCUUGUGUACUCUUCCCCUCGUGACGCUCGGAUUUUACCCUUCGGUGCCCGAGCCUCCACUCAAUCACCCCGCAGUAUACUAACCUACCUGGAACCUCUCGUUGGCUGCCUCCCUCGAACUGCUCCCGGUGAGCUGAAGUUUGUACCGGUCCGCCCUCCAACGCCGCCCCGCCGGAUUUCUCCGGACAUCAGGUGGUCCCACAGCUAGAUCCUCCUCUCCGAAACCACCCAGGAAAUCCCAGUACUCACCUCGGCUCUCCUGCCGCCUGGCCAAGGAGCCCGCUCCAGUUGCUGCUUCCCCGUGGAAUCUGCUGAUACUGUUUGGUGCUUUAAUAUUAAAUGCAUCUUUUACUGAC
This is a long non-coding RNA of Poecilia reticulata (guppy), 853 nucleotides long. RefSeq lists it as uncharacterized. The record is from RefSeq and is a predicted model, not a curated record. Lineage: Eukaryota; Metazoa; Chordata; Actinopteri; Cyprinodontiformes; Poeciliidae.